Molecule: ribosomal RNA, 499 nt
Filed under: uncultured archaeon
Lineage: Archaea
Description: bacterial SSU rRNA
Rfam family: Archaeal small subunit ribosomal RNA
Source: RNAcentral
GCGCGAAAACUUUACAAUGCAGGCAACUGCGAUAGGGGAACAUCGAGUGAUCGUCAUAUUGGGGGUCUGUCCACCCGUGUAAAAAACGGGUGUUAGCAAGGGCCGGGCAAGACCGGUGCCAGCCGCCGCGGUAAUACCGGCGGCUCGAGUGGUGGCCGUUAUUAUUGAGUCUAAAGGGUCCGUAGCCGGCUUUGCAAGUCUUUCGGGAAAUCCAGCGGCUUAACCGUUGGUCGUCCGGGGGGUACUACCUUGCUUGGGACCGGGAGAGGUAGGAGGUACUCCGGGGGUAGGAGUGAAAUCCUGUAAUCCUUUGGGGACCACCGGUGGCGAAGGCGUCUUACCAGAACAGGUCCGACGGUGAGGGACGAAAGCUAGGGGCACGAACCGGAUUAGAUACCCGGGUAUCCCAGCCGUAAACGAUGCUCGUAGGGUGUCACAACGGUGGGGAAUUGUUGUGGUGCCGUAGGGAAGCCGUGAAGCGAGCCACCUGGGAAGUACG